RNAcentral lists this ribosomal RNA (701 nucleotides) under uncultured bacterium. RNAcentral's name for it is "bacterial SSU rRNA". It matches the Rfam family "Bacterial small subunit ribosomal RNA", at positions 59 to 760 of the family's 1533-position model. The record is from RNAcentral.
CAGUCGAGCGAAGCGCAUAGAUUUGAUUCUUCGGAUGAAGAUCUAUGCGACUGACCGGCGGACGGGUGAGUAACGCGUGGGUAACCUGCCUUACACAGGGGGAUAACAGUUAGAAAUGACUGCUAAUACCGCAUAAGACCCCGGUACCGCAUGGUACAGAGGUAAAAACUGAGGUGGUGUAAGAUGGACCCGCGUCUGAUUAGGUAGUUGGUGAGGUAACGGCUCACCAAGCCGACGAUCAGUAGCCGGCCUGAGAGGGUGGACGGCCACAUUGGGACUGAGACACGGCCCAGACUCCUACGGGAGGCAGCAGUGGGGAAUAUUGCACAAUGGGGGAAACCCUGAUGCAGCGACGCCGCGUGAGCGAUGAAGUAUUUCGGUAUGUAAAGCUCUAUCAGCAGGGAAGAAAAUGACGGUACCUGACUAAGAAGCCCCGGCUAACUACGUGCCAGCAGCCGCGGUAAUACGUAGGGGGCAAGCGUUAUCCGGAUUUACUGGGUGUAAAGGGAGCGUAGACGGCAUGGCAAGCCAGAUGUGAAAUACCGGGGCUCAACCCCGGGACUGCAUUUGGAACUGUUAAGCUGGAGUGUCGGAGAGGCAGGCGGAAUUCCUAGUGUAGCGGUGAAAUGCGUAGAUAUUAGGGGGAACACCAGUGGCGAAGGCGGCCUGCUGGACGAUAACUGACGUUGAGGCUCGAAAGC